Molecule: ribosomal RNA, 458 nt
Filed under: uncultured bacterium
Lineage: Bacteria
Description: partial 16S ribosomal RNA
Rfam family: Bacterial small subunit ribosomal RNA
Source: RNAcentral
CCUACGGGUGGCAGCAGUGAGGAAUAUUGGUCAAUGGGCGAGAGACUGAACCAGCCAAGUCGCGUGAGGGAGUACUGCCCUAUGGGUUGUAAACCUCUUUUGUCGGGGAGCAAAAGCCGGACGUGUCCGGCUGUGAGAGUACCCGAAGAAAAAGCAUCGGCUAACUCCGUGCCAGCAGCCGCGGUAAAUCGGAGGAUGCGAGAGUUAUCCGGAUUUAUUGGGGUUAAAGGGUGCGCAGGCGGAUUGUUAAGUCAGCGGUCAAAUCGUGGGGGUCAACCCCGUCCAGCCGUUGAAACUGGCGAUCUAGAGUGUGCGAGAGGUAUGCGGAAUGCGUGGUGUAGCGGUGAAAUGCAUAGAUAUCACGCAGAACCCCGAUUGCGAAGGCAGCAUACCGGUGCACAACUGACGCUCAGGCACGAAAGCGUGGGUAUCGAACAGGAUUAGAUACCCGGGUAGUC